Molecule: ribosomal RNA, 456 nt
Filed under: uncultured bacterium
Lineage: Bacteria
Description: bacterial SSU rRNA
Rfam family: Bacterial small subunit ribosomal RNA
Source: RNAcentral
UACGGAAGGCAGCAGUGGGGAAUAUUGCACAAUGGGCGAAAGCCUGAUGCAGCUAUGCCGCGUGUAUGAAGAAGGCCUUAGGGUUGUAAAGUACUUUCAUCGGGGAGGAAAAAACAAAACUAAUAAUUUUAUUUCUUGACGUUACCCGAAAAAGAAGCACCGGCUAACUCCGUGCCAGCAGCCGCGGUAAUACGGAGGGUGCUAGCGUUAAUCAGAAUUACUGGGCGUAAAGAGCACGUAGGUGGUUUUUUAAGUCAGAUGUGAAAUCCCUGGGCUUAACCUGGAACUGCAUUUUGAAACUGAAAUACUAGAGUAUCGUAGAGGGAGGUAGAAUUCUAGGUGUAGCGGUGAAAUGCGUAGAUAUCUGGAGGAAUACCUGUGGCGAAAGCGGCCUCCUAAACGAAUACUGACACUGAGGUGCGAAAGCGUUGGGGAGCAAACAGGGAUUAGGAUACC